UACGAAGGGGGCUAGCGUUGCUCGGAAUCACUGGGCGUAAAGCGCACGUAGGCGGCUUACUAAGUCAGGGGUGAAAUCCUGGAGCUCAACUCCAGAACUGCCUUUGAUACUGGUGAGCUUGAGUCCGGAAGAGGUGAGUGGAACUGCGAGUGUAGAGGUGAAAUUCGUAGAUAUUAGGAAGAACACCGGUGGCGAAGGCGGCUUCCUGGCCCAUUACUGACGUUCAGGUACGAAAGCGUGGGUAGCAAACAGG
RNAcentral lists this ribosomal RNA (253 nucleotides) under uncultured bacterium. Its description in RNAcentral is "partial 16S ribosomal RNA". It matches the Rfam family "Bacterial small subunit ribosomal RNA", at positions 524 to 776 of the family's 1533-position model. The record is from RNAcentral.